AGAUUGAACGCUGGCGGCAUGCCUAACACAUGCAAGUCGAACGGGAGUAGCAAUACUCUAGUGGCGGACGGGUGAGGAAUACGUAGGAAUUUGCCCUUAAGUGGGGGAUAACCCGGGGAAACCCGGAUUAAUACCGCAUGACCUCGAAAGAGCAAAGUGGGGGAUCGCAAGACCUCACGCUUUUGGAGAAGCCUACGUCGGAUUAGCUAGUUGGUGAGGUAAUGGCUCACCAAGGCGACGAUCCGUAACUGGUCUGAGAGGAUGAUCAGUCACACCGGAACUGAGACACGGUCCGGACUCCUACGGGAGGCAGCAGUGGGGAAUAGUUGGACAAGUGGGCGCGAAGCCUGAUCCAGCAAUGCCGCGUGUGUAGAAGAAGGCCGUUCGGUUAGUAAAGUCUAACGUUUAAGGUUAGGG
RNAcentral lists this ribosomal RNA (417 nucleotides) under uncultured soil bacterium. Its description in RNAcentral is "bacterial SSU rRNA". It matches the Rfam family "Bacterial small subunit ribosomal RNA", at positions 26 to 451 of the family's 1533-position model. The record is from RNAcentral.